GGGAGUGCGGCUUCCCCUUGCUUUCUCUGGAAAUUUUGUAUCCUUGCGAGCCCAUGGACCCAGCUUCAGCCCCCGGAGGGGAAAGUACCCUUCCCGUUGUCGGGAAGAUAAUCAUUUUCUGGCUCACCUCAUCACUAACCUCAAAACACCAAGUCAACUGCCCAGGGUCUCAGCAAACCUUCUGUGCAGAUCUCCCUACCACCACCACCACCACGGACGCUGCACCCGAGCUGCUCGUCAAGAGUGUCCAGGGCUGGCAGGCAGCUCAGACGGAGGGGAGCCAGGUACAGAGAGAACCCAAUGAUGAAAAAGGUGCAACCCACACUCAGGAGCCAACUUGGCAUUAUCCUGGCAGCAUCCAGACCUGCUGAGCAGCAAAAUGCCUGUUAUCUCUGUAACAAAAGAAGUUUAACUUCCCCACCCGCCCCCGGACACAAACACAGCUGAUUAAUGCUGGGGAGGAGAGCGCUGUCUGUCCUUGGACCUGGGACCACCCACCAUGUGUCACCCACCUCAGCCACACAUUAAA
Molecule: long non-coding RNA, 529 nt
Organism: Dromaius novaehollandiae (emu)
Lineage: Eukaryota; Metazoa; Chordata; Aves; Casuariiformes; Dromaiidae
Exons: 3
Source: RefSeq, a predicted model, not a curated record